AAUCAGUUCUAAACUGCACGACAAACGAGACGGACGUCGUGGAGCUAAAAUUUAAUUAAUCCCCUGAAGACGAUCUCCGGAGGAGAUUUAAAUAUAUUGGGAAGGAAUGUAAUUUCAUGUGUUUUAAUUCCAUCAACACCCUGAUCUCAAAGCCGGCAUUAAAAAGGAUUACUUGAUUAAAAAUCAAAAAGGUCGCAGUACAAAACGGUUACAGAUUUAUUUUAUUAAAAAACUAUUAAAACCAGUAGGCAUUGGAGUUCUACUGUGAAUAUCUACUAAAUGGUUAGAGUAAUCGAUUAACUACCUCAGACCUUUUUUGUAGAGCAUUUAA
Molecule: unclassified non-coding RNA, 331 nt
Filed under: Rhagoletis pomonella (apple maggot)
Lineage: Eukaryota; Metazoa; Arthropoda; Insecta; Diptera; Tephritidae
Description: uncharacterized LOC118735267, transcript variant X2
Source: RNAcentral